CCAACAGGGAUUGCCCUAGUAACGGCGAGUGAAGCGGCAACAGCUCAAAUUUGAAAUCUGGCCCUCGGGUCCGAGUUGUAAUUUGUAGAGGAUGCUUUUGGUGCAGUGCCUUCCGAGUUCCUUGGAACAGGACGCCUUAGAGGGUGAGAGCCCCGUACGGUUGGACACUAAGCCUCUGUAAAGCUCCUUCGACGAGUCGAGUAGUUUGGGAAUGCUGCUCUAAAUGGGAGGUAAAUUUCUUCUAAAGCUAAAUACCGGCCAGAGACCGAUAGCGCACAAGUAGAGUGAUCGAAAGAUGAAAAGUACUUUGAAAAGAGGGUUAAAUAGCACGUGAAAUUGUUGAAAGGGAAGCGUUUAUGACCAGACCUUUGUCUGGCGGAUCAUCCGGUGUUCUUCACCGGUGCACUUCGCCAGGCUCAGGCCAGCAUCGAUUUCUGUAGGGGGAUAAAAACCAUGGGAACGUAGCUCUCUCCGGGGAGUGUUAUAGCCCUAGGUACAAUACCUUUACGGGGAUCGAGGUUCGCGCUUCUGCAAGGAUGCUGGCGUAAUGGUCAUCAACGACCCGUCUUGAAACACGGACCAAGGAGUCGAACAUUUAUGCGAGUGUUUGGGUGUUAAACCCUCACGCGUAAUGAAAGUGAACGGAGGUGAGAGCCCGUACGGGUGCAUCAUCGACCGAUCCUGAUGUCUUCGGAUGGAUUUGAGUAAGAGCAUAACUGUUCGGACCCGAAAGAUGGUGAACUAUGCGUGGAUAGGGUGAAGCCAGAGGAAACUCUGGUGGAGGCUCGCAGCGGUUCUGACGUGCAAAUCGAUCGUCAAAUCUGCGCAUGG
This 831-nucleotide ribosomal RNA is filed under the name Diatrype mangrovei. RNAcentral describes it as "Diatrype sp. MD-2019a partial large subunit ribosomal RNA". It matches the Rfam family "Eukaryotic large subunit ribosomal RNA", at positions 65 to 920 of the family's 3401-position model. Lineage: Eukaryota; Fungi; Ascomycota; Sordariomycetes; Xylariales; Diatrypaceae. The record is from RNAcentral.